CAGAUGUUGACGUCUGCAUACAACAAGAAAAAUUGGGUAUCGAGAUUUUCGCGAAGACCCGUUUACCCACAAUCAGGGUAAAGAUUACUCUUUUGAUACACGCUAACCUGAAACUACCCAUCGAUUGGGUCGAUUCCACCCGGAUUUUUAUACUAUUUCCAGCUGUCAAAAUCCGGGUAACUGAUAUCUCAUCAAAAGAGUAACCUUCACCCUGAUUAUGGGUAAACAGGUCUUCGCGAAAAUCUUGAUACCCAUUUUUUCUUGUUGUGUGCAGACGUCAACAUCUGGGUAAAUAUCUGGGUAAAAGGGUCUUGGAGAUUUUUUUCGCAUUUUCCGCGGUAGAGUCUAGUCCGAAAAUGCGGCCAUGGAGGAGCAAACUUGAACUUGCAAAUUGCUGACUGGCGGCGCAGUAUGCUUACCCGACUGCAACAAAAUUGACCAGACUUGGGGUAGUAUCCCGAUUCAGGCGGAACGAAUGAUCGUUAGUCACCUUCUGUAAUGGUCACAGAACCUGGCUCUUGACCUGGCUCCGCUGUGAAAACCGCUCAAAAAUUUUGCGUUGCCUGUGAGACUGCCACAUUCAAAUCUGGAUCACCUCCACCGUCAUCGAGCUGUUUUGCAAGAUAUUCUUUUAGAAAUAUCUAAAUACUUGUUCAUGAGAUAUCAAUAAAUCGAUAAUGUGUUUUA
Long non-coding RNA from Aedes albopictus (Asian tiger mosquito), 687 nucleotides. RefSeq lists it as uncharacterized. Lineage: Eukaryota; Metazoa; Arthropoda; Insecta; Diptera; Culicidae. The record is from RefSeq and is a predicted model, not a curated record. The transcript is spliced from 3 exons.